Molecule: long non-coding RNA, 1691 nt
Organism: Triticum dicoccoides
Lineage: Eukaryota; Viridiplantae; Streptophyta; Magnoliopsida; Poales; Poaceae
Exons: 3
Source: RefSeq, a predicted model, not a curated record
GCCUCCUUCCACCUCCUCUCCCACGCCACUCACCCACCCCCGCGCCGCCGCUGGUUCCUCCGCCGCCUCCCUCCCGGCUCCAAGUACACACCAGGACACCCAGGCACGAGAGAUCACCCUACUUUCCGAUCGACAGCAGGAAAGGUCAAGCCCCGCGCACCUCGCGCGAAUCCGAUCGACCGCGGCCCAGCACCACCAGCCGCCGCCGUGGCCAAGGGGAAAGGCUCCACAUCGUCACCAUCGUCUCUACCGUCGAGGCCCUAUCGCGCCACCGCCGUCGUCGCGAUGGCCGCGUACGUCCUCACGCUCGCCGUGGCGCUCCUCCUCGGGCCCAGCUUCCCCUGCGCAUAUUCUUCAACACCAUGGGGCCAGAAGGGUCACUAAAAUGUCCAAUGGGGUGGCAAACUCAAUCCUCUCAGGUUUUCUCAAGGUCUCGUUAUUAAUAGCACUGUGGUCAACUCCAAACCUGCCCAGAAGUUCUUCAAGUUAAUGCCUGGUGAAGUUAUUCUGCUUCACUGGAUGGAUUUGGUAAGCUUUUGCCACUAGUUGUGCAUGUUACAUUCACUUGACCAAAUAUGAAGUUUAACCCCUUUUAUCUGUAUUCUUGCAUAUAAAGGCAGCUAGUAGAAUGCUCUGGUUAUCCUCUAUUUUCUGAACUUUUAAGUCAGAAGUCUAGGUUGUCAGUGAUUCUGUUCUAAAUAAAAAUGGAAUGUGUUGAUCUAAAGAUGGAUUGGGCUAAUGGCUACAUCACCAAAGCACCAGAUAGGAUGAAAUCAUACUUUGAUUUGGAUUUUUUUAUGUUCAACAUUGGGCCUUCCCAAGCAAUCCCCGGGUAUUAAGUGUACUAUUAUAGAGUGCACUGGGUUAGAUGCGUUAACUUAAGUCAAACAGUUCUAAGAGCUGCCAAUAAUUUCUGAACUUUUGAGUUGGUCUAGGUAGUUUGUGAUUCUGUUCCGAAAAAAUGGAAUUUAUUGAUCUAAAGAUGGAUCAGAUUAAUAGAGAAUAACCAAACAACCGGAUAAGAUGAAAUCAUACUGUGAUUUGGAUUUUUAUGUUUUACUGGGCCUCCUCAAGCAAAUCCCAAGUAUUUAGCGUACUACUAUUGUAGAGUACACUAGGUUAAGAUGCCUGAAUUUAAAUAAAAGUCUAAAACAAUUCUAAGAGCUAAUGUGUGAUCAGAACUAUAUUUGUAUUAGUUCAAGAGAUUUGAUAUGCGUAACCAUUGGUGCAUCACAUAUUAUUAUUAGUUGUCUCUUCGUUGCUCAAUGGUUCAGGUAAAGUAUGGGAUGCUGUUGAGGUAUCUGGCAAGAACGUGAUGCAAACAUCAUCAGUUGUCACAACUUCAGUUGUAACGCACAGGUAUGGUGACCAAGCAGGAGAGAUAACACAAAGACUACCUCCACGCCACCAUUGCGCAGACGAUCGUCCAGGUGAUUGCGACGCCGGAGGUCGUCGAGGUGGAGGACCUCGAUGCCAAUGCCACCGUCCGGGAGAAGGGAGGGUUCGGGUCCACCGGAGUUUGAACUCCGAGGCUUGGUAGAUACAUCUAGAGAAGUGGUCUUGUUGUUUGAGUCUGAUGUUAAAUGGGAUCUCGUGAUCUCUUUGAGUUGAGAUGUUCAAUGUUACAUCCAUGAACGCUGCAAGUGCUAAGAUGGUUAUGUGACCUUUGCACUAGACUGUCUUGAUUUCCA